Molecule: ribosomal RNA, 730 nt
Filed under: uncultured bacterium
Lineage: Bacteria
Description: bacterial SSU rRNA
Rfam family: Bacterial small subunit ribosomal RNA
Source: RNAcentral
AACAGGAUUAGAUACCCUGGUAGUCCUCGCCGUAAACGAUGUCGACUUGGAGGUUGUGCCCUUGAGGCGUGGCUUCCGGAGCUAACGCGUUAAGUCGACCGCCUGGGGAGUACGGCCGCAAGGUUAAAACUCAAAUGAAUUGACGGGGGCCCGCACAAGCGGUGGAGCAUGUGGUUUAAUUCGAUGCAACGCGAAGAACCUUACCUACUCUUGACAUCCAGAGAACUUAGCAGAGAUGCUUUGGUGCCUUCGGGAACUCUGAGACAGGUGCUGCAUGGCUGUCGUCAGCUCGUGUUGUGAAAUGUUGGGUUAAGUCCCGCAACGAGCGCAACCCUUAUCCUUUGUUGCCAGCGGUUCGGCCGGGAACUCAAAGGAGACUGCCAGUGAUAAACUGGAGGAAGGUGGGGAUGACGUCAAGUCAUCAUGGCCCUUACGAGUAGGGCUACACACGUGCUACAAUGGCAUAUACAAAGAGAAGCGACCUCGCGAGAGCAAGCGGACCUCAUAAAGUAUGUCGUAGUCCGGAUUGGAGUCUGCAACUCGACUCCAUGAAGUCGGAAUCGCUAGUAAUCGUGGAUCAGAAUGCCACGGUGAAUACGUUCCCGGGCCUUGUACACACCGCCCGUCACACCAUGGGAGUGGGUCGCAAAAGAAGUAGGUAGCUUAACCUUCGGGAGGGCGCUUACCACUUUGUGAUUCAUGACUGGGGUGAAGUCGUAACAAGGUAACC